UACGAAGGGGGCUAGCGUUGUUCGGAUUUACUGGGCGUAAAGCGCACGUAGGCGGAUUGUUAAGUUAGGGGUGAAAUCCUGGAGCUCAACUCCAGAACUGCCCUUAAUACUGGCAAUCUCGAGUCCGGAAGAGGUAAGUGGAACUCCUAGUGUAGAGGUGGAAUUCGUAGAUAUUAGGAAGAACACCAGUGGCGAAGGCGGCUUACUAGUCCGGUACUGACGCUGAGGUGCGAAAGCGUGGGGAGCAAACAGG
This 253-nucleotide ribosomal RNA is filed under the name uncultured bacterium. RNAcentral's name for it is "partial 16S ribosomal RNA". It matches the Rfam family "Bacterial small subunit ribosomal RNA", at positions 524 to 776 of the family's 1533-position model. The record is from RNAcentral.